RNAcentral lists this transfer RNA (75 nucleotides) under Streptomyces sp. S1D4-11. RNAcentral describes it as "tRNA-Arg". Lineage: Bacteria; Bacillati; Actinomycetota; Actinomycetes; Kitasatosporales; Streptomycetaceae. The record is from RNAcentral.
GUAGGUCAGGGGUCGGCCCCCGCGCGGUCUGCGAAUCCGCCGGCUCAGCCUUCCCAGGUUCGAAUCCUGGCGCCG